UUUGUGUAGUUAGAUAGUGGUUGUGCAAAUAUGGCUGUACUUGAUUAAUUAAUUAUUGUUAUUACUUGUUUAUUAGUGAUAAAGUGUGUGUUUUGGUUAAACAACAAUGAAUUAUCUUUGCUCGCGUAAUAAGUGAUCGUAUCGAUCAUAUAAUUAAUUGUUUAAUUCGAACUUAAACGAAACGAAAAGUGUAUAACGCGCGAUUCGAUAAAAUUUGCGGUAUGCCGAAAGGUAGGUGAUUGUCGGAUAUAUAACAAAAACAAAAAAAUAUUUCAAUUUAUUUGGGAAGUGAUUAAAUUCUUUAUAUAUUUUCCAAAAAUCAAAACAAAACAUAUAAAAUACUAAUAAGUGUCAAAUUUUUGAAAACUUAUUUCGUUUUCUAUAUUUUGAUGAAUAUUUUUUUAAUUUUUUUUAUUUAUUGGGUAUGCUGUUGCAGUGUUUAGUUGCUUUUGUCUAUUCUAGGUUGUUUCAAUACUUUCAGGAUUCCCAGGACGAGAUAUUUUUUUCGGAAAUUACAUAUAAAAAACAUCAAUAAUAUUAUUUAAAUUAAAAAAGUUAAAUUUAAUAAUAAUUACUUAAAAUAUUCAGUAAAUUAACUUUUUUUCAAAAUUAUUAUGUUUUCAACGGAAAGUAAAAUUUUUGAAAAUUGAAAUUUUAAAGAAAUUUUUACAAAACAGUUAGGACAUUGUGGACAUAAUUUAUUUGAGAAUUAUUCAAAUAAACGAAUUUUAGUGAAAGUAAUAAAAACAAUUUUUUUGUUAAAAUCAUUAGGGAUAAUCGGGAUUUGCAUUUAAAAUUCAUUUUUUAAUCCUUCAAUAAAUUUAAUUAAAUCAAUUUUUUUGUUCCAAAAGUACAAAAUCUAUUUGAGAAUAUUUAGUUGACAUUUUUUUUGAAAAUUUUUUGGUUUUUAAAUCAAAUUAAUUUCCGAAUUUUUCAUUAAUUUUCAUCAAACACUGAUAAAAUUUGGUUUAAUUAUUGUAGAAAUAUAUAAUCAAAAUGGAAAUAACAUUUAUGAGUGAUUCAAAAUUAACUCUACACAUGUUUAAUUUUUUUUGAAAAUAUUCAGGAAGUAGAAGAAUUUUUGAAAUUUUCUCUGAUAUAUUUCGAGUUUCCAAAUAAAUUUGUUAAAAAGAUUAAUUAAUUAUAAAAUGAAAUUAUUAUGAACUUCAGGUGCAAUAAUAUACGUAAAUUUGCAUGUACUAAAAUGAGGAGGAGGAGGAGAAGAGGAACUUGUAUUUUUUUCUAGGUACAACGGAGAUUUGGCAGUCCAUGAUCGUUGAUUUUUUUCUAUAUUUAUGUGUGUCUGAUUGAUAUGAUAAAAUGAGAUCACGUGGUUAUCCCUAGGUACAAUAAGGACUCGUAGUUUUUAGAAAAUCUCCUUCAACGUUUCAUCAUUUCAAUAAUUUUUCGCAUAUUUUUAGGGUACUCGGUUUAACAAGUUUUACUAAAAAUUAGAUACGCGUUCAAAAAAUUAUUUUUUUUUUCUAAAUUUGAUCAAAAUUAGAUAUUUAAACUGCUCUCUCUUUCAAAAAGUUUUGUUGAUAUCAAUAGAGUUAGAGGCGCUCUAAAGUAUCAUCAAACCGUUAUUUAAUGACAUCGUCUUUUGAGAUCAGGGAGUAGGCAGAUUGAGGCUCUGACACCUCAAUUAGACUUUGAUUCGGGGAGUUAGUACUUGAAGUUUUUUUAACCAAACAAAUUAUUUUUAAUAGAAACAUCAAAUUUAUUCAGCUUUUCACUUUUUUAUAAGUUUUUCGUAAUUAUUUAUCAUGAUUUUAUGUCUUAAUUCCGUGAAAAUCUAAUUUUUCAGUUACUUGUAGACUCGAUUAUCAUUCAAAUGACUUUCUGAGUAAUCUGUUGAGAUUUUCUUUAACUAUGAGGACGAGGCUGUUGGGUUAAGCUAAUUUUUUUCGGAAAAUUAGUUCCCUAGAAACGACAAGUACAGGCUUGAGGUUACUCUAACGUAGUGGACUAACAAGUCUGUGCUAUGGGGAUGAUUGUGUGACGUAUGCCUUAAUGUAAGUGAUAAAUGUGGUACGGCAAACCGCCGCGAAGUGGAAAGUGAUUCGUAAUUUUCGGUUUCGGUGUGUCGCGAAUCGGUUUCAAAGUGAUAGUGAUGGAAAAUGGAAAUGGAAAGUCUCCUCUGCGCAUGAUAAUAUAUGGCGGAGAGAUUACAACAAGGUAAGAUUGAUUUUCACUUACAUCGACAUAAAAGCUUGUGAUGGUUUUUUGGCCGAAAUGUCGUUAUAAAUCCUUAAUACGAAUCAUCAGAAUUAUAAAAUUUACAAAAUUCUUCUUCGAAUAUCU
Molecule: long non-coding RNA, 2304 nt
Organism: Diorhabda carinulata
Lineage: Eukaryota; Metazoa; Arthropoda; Insecta; Coleoptera; Chrysomelidae
Exons: 3
Source: RefSeq, a predicted model, not a curated record